UGGGGAAUAUUGGACAAUGGGGGCAACCCUGAUCCAGCAAUGCCGCGUGUGUGAAGAAGGUCUUCGGAUUGUAAAGCACUUUCGACGGGGACGAUGAUGACGGUACCCGUAGAAGAAGCCCCGGCUAACUUCGUGCCAGCAGCCGCGGUAAUACGAAGGGGGCUAGCGUUGCUCGGAAUGACUGGGCGUAAAGGGCGUGUAGGCGGUUUACACAGUCAGAUGUGAAAUCCCCGGGCUUAACCUGGGAGCUGCAUUUGAUACGUGUAGACUAGAGUGUGAGAGAGGGUUGUGGAAUUCCCAGUGUAGAGGUGAAAUUCGUAGAUAUUGGGAAGAACACCGGUGGCGAAGGCGGCAACCUGGCUCAUGACUGACGCUGAGGCGCGAAAGCGUGGGGAGCAAACAGGAUUAGAUACCCUGGUAGUCCACGCUGUAAACGAUGUGUGCUAGAUGUUGGGUAACUUUG
RNAcentral lists this ribosomal RNA (463 nucleotides) under uncultured bacterium. Its description in RNAcentral is "partial 16S ribosomal RNA". It matches the Rfam family "Bacterial small subunit ribosomal RNA", at positions 355 to 835 of the family's 1533-position model. The record is from RNAcentral.